CUGAAAGCCUGGGGAACUGAAAUCCUUCUGUCAUGCACAGAACAAACACAGCAGAGACAGCUGUAGUAUCAGCUUGCCUGCCCUGCCCAAGAGAUUGCAGUGCUGUUUGCUUGGUCACUCUUCUGUCCCUCUGCUGGCUCCACCUCCCACAAUU
Molecule: small RNA, 154 nt
Filed under: Anas platyrhynchos platyrhynchos (common mallard)
Lineage: Eukaryota; Metazoa; Chordata; Aves; Anseriformes; Anatidae
Description: TUC338 (ENSAPLG00000023554.1)
Source: RNAcentral